This 374-nucleotide ribosomal RNA is filed under the name uncultured bacterium. RNAcentral's name for it is "bacterial SSU rRNA". It matches the Rfam family "Bacterial small subunit ribosomal RNA", at positions 524 to 898 of the family's 1533-position model. The record is from RNAcentral.
UACGUAGGCAGCAAGCGUUGUUCGGAAUUACUGGGCGUAAAGAGUACGUAGGUGGUUUGCCAAGUCCGAUGUGAAAUCUCCUGGCUUAACUGGGAGGGUGCGUUAGAUACUGGCAGGCUUGAGUGUGGGAGAGGAGAGCGGAAUUCCUGGUGUAGCGGUGAAAUGCGUAGAUAUCAGGAGGAACGCCUGUGGUGUAGACGGCUCUCUGGACCAUUACUGACACUGAGGUACGAAAGCGUGGGUAGCAAACAGGAUUAGAUACCCUGGUAGUCCACGCCCUAAACGAUGCAUACUUGGUGUGGGCAGUUCAGUCUGUCCGUGCCGGAGCUAACGCGUUAAGUAUGCCGCCUGGGGAGUACGGUCGCAAGGCUGAA